This 640-nucleotide long non-coding RNA is filed under the name Gallus gallus (chicken). The record is from RNAcentral. Lineage: Eukaryota; Metazoa; Chordata; Aves; Galliformes; Phasianidae.
CAGGACUGGAGUAUGCUGGCAGCAUCAGAGGUAAAUUGGAUGGCACCGCAUAACCACAGGGCACAGGGACAGAAUAUCCACUGGACACAUUUGGACUGGCAGGUUCAUCUUGAGGACUUGGAUCUGGUGAGGAGGAUGGAUCCUUUUCUUGCAUUGGGGAAAUAUUUAUGACUGAGUAGGGAUUCACUUUCCUUGGAGCAUCUUCCGCAGUAGGUUCUGAUGCUUGUAGCUUCUCACUUUUUUCUAAGUUAUCAGCUCCUUUAGCUGUGACAUUAGCCUCUUGGUGCUCUGUGUUAUUUCCAGGAUCAGGAGGAGGUGGCACAAGGGCUUGUCUGUCUGCUUCCGGUAUCUCAUCCCCACUGUCAAAGUCAAACAGUUCACCCUCAUCCUCCUCUUCAUCAUUUGUACUCACAGCUUUGGGUUCAUGCUCUAGAACUUCUGGGGGUGGGGGAGGGAAUUCCUCUGUGUCCAUCCUAGUGUAUCCACCACGCCUUCAGCUGACUGAAAAACCCUGCAAAAAUGAAGGGAACAUUUUUUUACAUGAAUAUCAUUUCCAACUAUACAGGCACUCCUUUUCAAUUUGGCCAGGCUCAUAGCUAAUAAUACGAUGGAAGAGAGGAGAUGUGCCUGGCUUCUUGCU